UUGCACAAGGCUUACUGAAACUGGAGCA
RNAcentral lists this non-coding RNA (28 nucleotides) under Mus musculus (house mouse). The record is from RNAcentral. Lineage: Eukaryota; Metazoa; Chordata; Mammalia; Rodentia; Muridae.